UACGUAGGUGGCGAGCGUUGUCCGGAAUUACUGGGCGUAAAGCGAAUGUAGGCGGCUAUGUAAGUCGGAUGUGAAAUCCCCGGGCUCAACCUGGGAACUGCAUUCGAUACUGCAUGGCUAGAGUCUGAUAGAGGGAAGUGGAAUUCCAGGUGUAGCGGUGAAAUGCGUAGAUAUCUGGAAGAACACCAGUGGCGAAGGCGGCUUCCUGGAUCAAGACUGACGCUGAGGCUCGAAAGCGUGGGGAGCAAACAGG
RNAcentral lists this ribosomal RNA (253 nucleotides) under uncultured bacterium. RNAcentral's name for it is "partial 16S ribosomal RNA". It matches the Rfam family "Bacterial small subunit ribosomal RNA", at positions 524 to 776 of the family's 1533-position model. The record is from RNAcentral.